ACCUGAGUGGCUCAUGGUUAAGCGUCUGUCUUUGGCUCAGGUCAUGAUCGUGGAGUUGUGGGAUUGAGUCCCACAUCAGGUU
RNAcentral lists this transfer RNA (82 nucleotides) under Canis lupus familiaris (dog). It matches the Rfam family "tRNA". From Rfam's summary of the family: Transfer RNA (tRNA) molecules are approximately 80 nucleotides in length. Their secondary structure includes four short double-helical elements and three loops (D, anti-codon, and T loops). Further hydrogen bonds mediate the characteristic L-shaped molecular structure. tRNAs have two regions of fundamental functional importance: the anti-codon, which is responsible for specific mRNA codon recognition, and the 3' end, to which the tRNAs corresponding amino acid is attached (by aminoacyl-tRNA synthetases). tRNAs cope with the degeneracy of the genetic code in two manners: having more than one tRNA (with a specific anti-codon) for a particular amino acid; and 'wobble' base-pairing, i.e. permitting non-standard base-pairing at the 3rd anti-codon position. Lineage: Eukaryota; Metazoa; Chordata; Mammalia; Carnivora; Canidae. The record is from Rfam by way of RNAcentral.